Molecule: ribosomal RNA, 301 nt
Filed under: uncultured bacterium
Lineage: Bacteria
Description: partial 16S ribosomal RNA
Rfam family: Bacterial small subunit ribosomal RNA
Source: RNAcentral
CAGCAGCCGCGGUAAUACGUAGGUCCCGAGCGCUGUCCGGAUUUAUUGGGCGUAAAGCGAGCGCAGGCGGUUAGAUAAGUCUGAAGUUAAAGGCUGUGGCUUAACCAUAGUACGCUUUGGAAACUGUUUAACUUGAGUGCAAGAGGGGAGAGUGGAAUUCCAUGUGUAGCGGUGAAAUGCGUAGAUAUAUGGAGGAACACCGGUGGCGAAAGCGGCUCUCUGGCUUGUAACUGACGCUGAGGCUCGAAAGCGUGGGGAGCAAACAGGAUUAGAUACCCGCGUAGUCCCUGUCUCUUAUACA